GACGAACGCUGGCGGCGUGCUUAACACAUGCAAGUCGAACGGAAAGGCCCUGCUUUUGUGGGGUGCUCGAGUGGCGAACGGGUGAGUAACACGUGAGUAACCUGCCCUUGACUUUGGGAUAACUUCAGGAAACUGGGGCUAAUACCGGAUAGGAGCUCCUGCUGCAUGGUGGGGGUUGGAAAGUUCGGCGGUUGGGGAUGGACUCGCGGCUUAUCAACUUGUUGGUGGGGUAGUGGCUUACCAAGGCUUUGACGGGUAGCCGGCCUGAGAGGGUGACCGGCCACAUUGGGACUGAGAUACGGCCCAGACUCCUACGGGAGGCAGCAGUGGGGAAUAUUGCACAAUGGGCGGAAGCCUGAUGCAGCAACGCCGCGUGCGGGAUGACGGCCUUCGGGUUGUAAACCGCUUUCGCCUGUGACGAAGCGUGAGUGACGGUAAUGGGUAAAGAAGCACCGGCUAACUACGUG
RNAcentral lists this ribosomal RNA (467 nucleotides) under uncultured bacterium. RNAcentral's name for it is "partial 16S ribosomal RNA". It matches the Rfam family "Bacterial small subunit ribosomal RNA", at positions 28 to 507 of the family's 1533-position model. The record is from RNAcentral.